Ananas comosus (pineapple) is the source of this 575-nucleotide long non-coding RNA. RefSeq lists it as uncharacterized. The record is from RefSeq and is a predicted model, not a curated record. NCBI's taxonomy places the organism in Eukaryota, Viridiplantae, Streptophyta, Magnoliopsida, Poales, Bromeliaceae. The transcript has 2 exons.
GUUUAGUCGAGAUGGCAAAAAGCAUGUUGAAAGCGAAAAAGCUCCCAAACAAAUUUUGGGCAGAAGCGGUAUCUACUACAACAUACAUUCUCAAAAGAAGUCCAAUUUUAGUGCUGGAGAAUAUUACACCUUAUGAAGCAUAAACCGGCUGGAAACCGAAGUGUUUGGACAGGUUAAGUUGAUGAUCGAAAAAGUACGAGAAGGGUUCGAGUUGAUACGCUUCGCAACCGAGGAGCAGAUGGUCGAUAUUUUCACAAAGCCGCUACUAUUGGAGAAAUUCAUAUUUUGCCGAGAGAAGAUCGGUGCGAAGAACAUUAGCAUUAUGGGGGAGUGUUAGAGAUAAUGCUAAUGAGAUUAAGAUUAGAUUAUUCGAUCUUAUCCAUUAUUAUAUUCGGUUAUUUAAAUUAUGGUUAAGAUGAAAUCAAAUCAGAGUAGGAUACUAUGUAAUUAGUUAUAAAUAGAUAGGCCGGGAUUAUUUGGUUAGCGAAGCCGGUAUUAAUUAAGUUGAAGCCGAGCCGGGCGCUAAUUAAUUUUUGCAAGUUGUAUGGACGCAUCCUGGUGACUUUUCUUCAAUA